AUUGAACGCUGGCGGCAUGCUUUACACAUGCGAGUCGAACGGCCGCGCGGGCUUCGGCCUGGCGGCGAGUGGCGAACGGGUGAGUAAUGCAUCGGAACGUGCCCAGCCGUGGGGGCUAGCCCGGCGAAAGCCGGAUUAAUCCCGUAUCCGACCUGAGGGUGAAAGCGGGGGACCAAUAGGCCUCGACCUUUUGGCUGGGCCUAUGUCGGAUUAGCUAGUUGGUGGGGUAAAGGCUUACCAAGGCGACGAUCCGUAGCGGGUCUGAGAGGACGACCAGCCACACUGGGACUGAGACACGGCCCAGACUCCUACGGGAGGCAGCAGUGGGGAAUUUUGGACAAUGGGGGCAACCCUGAUCCAGCCAUGCCGCGUGCGUGAAGAAGGCCUUCGGGUUGUAAACCGCUUUUGUUCGGGAAGAAAUCCUCUGGGCUAAUACCCCGGGGGGAUGACGGUACCGGAAGAAUAAGCACCGGCUAACUACGUG
RNAcentral lists this ribosomal RNA (484 nucleotides) under uncultured bacterium. Its description in RNAcentral is "partial 16S ribosomal RNA". It matches the Rfam family "Bacterial small subunit ribosomal RNA", at positions 28 to 507 of the family's 1533-position model. The record is from RNAcentral.